RNAcentral lists this ribosomal RNA (254 nucleotides) under uncultured bacterium. RNAcentral describes it as "partial 16S ribosomal RNA". It matches the Rfam family "Bacterial small subunit ribosomal RNA", at positions 524 to 776 of the family's 1533-position model. The record is from RNAcentral.
UACGUAGGGUCCAAGCGUUAUCCGAAAUCACUGGGCGUAAAGCGUGCGUAGGUGGAUUGUUAAGUGCGAUGCGAAAUCCUGUGGCUCAACCAUAUGGACUGUAUCGCAUACUGGCAAUCUUGAGGACAUGAGAGGCAAGUGGAAUUACUGGUGUAGCAGUGAAAUGCGUAGAGAUCAGUAGGAACACCAAUGGCGAAGGCAGCUUGCUGGCAUGUAUCUGACGCUAAGGCACGAAAGCGUGGGGAGCGAACAGG